This 300-nucleotide ribosomal RNA is filed under the name uncultured soil bacterium. RNAcentral's name for it is "bacterial SSU rRNA". It matches the Rfam family "Bacterial small subunit ribosomal RNA", at positions 26 to 329 of the family's 1533-position model. The record is from RNAcentral.
AGAUUGAACGCUGGCGGCAUGCCUUACACAUGCAAGUCGAACGGCAGCACGGGAGCAAUCCUGGUGGCGAGUGGCGAACGGGUGAGUAAUAUAUCGGAACGUGCCCAGUCGUGGGGGAUAACGCAGCGAAAGCUGUGCUAAUACCGCAUACGAUCUAUGGAUGAAAGCGGGGGAUCGCAAGACCUCGCGCGAUUGGAGCGGCCGAUAUCAGAUUAGCUAGUUGGUGGGUAAAAGCCUACCAAGGCGACGAUCUGUAGCUGGUCUGAGAGGAUGAUCAGCCACACUGGGACUGAGACACGG